UACGAAGGGGGCUAGCGUUGUUCGGAUUUACUGGGCGUAAAGCGUGCGCAGACGGUUGCGUAAGUCAGAUGUGAAAGCCCCGGGCUCAACCUGGGAAUUGCAUUUGAGACUGCGUAGCUAGGGUGCGGAAGAGGGAAGCGGAAUUUCCGGUGUAGCGGUGAAAUGCGUAGAUAUCGGAAGGAACACCAGUGGCGAAAGCGGCUUCCUGGUCCAGCACCGACGUUCAGGCACGAAAGCGUGGGGAGCAAACAGG
Molecule: ribosomal RNA, 253 nt
Filed under: uncultured bacterium
Lineage: Bacteria
Description: partial 16S ribosomal RNA
Rfam family: Bacterial small subunit ribosomal RNA
Source: RNAcentral